GGCCUAACACAUGCAAGUCGAGCGGCAGCACAGGCGUAGCAAUACGCUGGGUGGCGAGCGGCGGACGGGUGAGGAACACAUCGGAAUCUACCCUGUCGUGGGGGACAACGUAGGGAAACUUACGCUAAUACCGCAUACGACCUUCGGGUGAAAGCGGGGGACUCGCAAGAGCCUCGCGCGACUGGAUGAGCCGAUGUCCGAUUAGCUAGUUGGCGGGGUAAUGGCCCACCAAGGCGACGAUCGGUAGCUGGUCUGAGAGGACGACCAGCCACACUGGAACUGAGACACGGUCCAGACUCCUACGGGAGGCAGCAGUGGGGAAUAUUGGACAAUGGGGGCAACCCUGAUCCAGCCAUGCCGCGUGGGUGAAGAAGGCCUUCGGGUUGUAAAGCCCUUUUGUACGGGAAGAAAAGCCAGUGGCGAAUAUCCGCUGGUCAUGACGGUACCGUA
Molecule: ribosomal RNA, 450 nt
Filed under: uncultured bacterium
Lineage: Bacteria
Description: bacterial SSU rRNA
Rfam family: Bacterial small subunit ribosomal RNA
Source: RNAcentral